UACAGAGGUCUCAAGCGUUGUUCGGAUUCAUUGGGCGUAAAGGGUGCGUAGGUGGCGGGGCAAGUCGUGGUGUGAAAUCCCGGGGCUCAACCCCGGAACUGCACUGGAUACUGCCUUGCUAGAGCACUGGAGAGGGAACUGGAAUUUACGGUGUAGCAGUGAAAUGCGUAGAUAUCGUAAGGAAGACCAGUGGCGAAGGCGAGUUCCUGGACAGUUGCUGACACUGAGGCACGAAGGCUAGGGGAGCAAACGGG
This 254-nucleotide ribosomal RNA is filed under the name uncultured bacterium. RNAcentral describes it as "partial 16S ribosomal RNA". It matches the Rfam family "Bacterial small subunit ribosomal RNA", at positions 524 to 776 of the family's 1533-position model. The record is from RNAcentral.